This is a long non-coding RNA of Panicum virgatum (switchgrass), 571 nucleotides long. RefSeq lists it as uncharacterized. The record is from RefSeq and is a predicted model, not a curated record. Lineage: Eukaryota; Viridiplantae; Streptophyta; Magnoliopsida; Poales; Poaceae. The transcript has 2 exons.
AAGUGGGCAGCCGAUGGAAGAUUGGCCGAUGCUGGGCAGAAGGAGGAAGGUAGAAGAUGAUUUGGUGACUUGGCAUCGCAGCCAAUAGAGCAGGAUUUGCGCUGAUUGAUUAUGUCAGCAAGUUAUCUUGUCAAGUCCGAGUUUAGUUUGAGUCAAUUAUUUAGGAAAGUUUUCUUUUCUUUUUGAUCAAGUUAUGUAAGUCGUAAUCGACAAGGAGUUCUAGGUUAGGCUAUAAAUAGCAGACCUGCGGGUUUUGUAAAACAACCAACGUUCAAUCAAACAAACCUUUUACAUCAUUUGCAUCUGCUUUUCUUUCUCGACGACUUUGUCAAACCCUAAUUGCAGUAGCUUUUCUCUUUUAUGAGUUCUUCUCUCUAGCAGGGCUGCAUCGGCUUCGAUCACCAGCUCGUCGGUCAAAUUGACUAGCACGCCAAGCACCUUCACGCAGCUAUUUGGAGCCUGUAUGUCGGAGUAAAGCAGAUCUCCCAGGUCCUCGUGUGGGGCCACAUGGAAGUCCGAUCAUCAGAUUUUUUGCGUCAACAAUAUCAAGAACAACAACAAAACUACAACU